UACCAAACACAUUUAUUUUCUUUUAGAUUGUUUACAAAAUCUUUCUAAGUAAUUUUGAAACUUAAAAUGUAUAUUUCUUAUUAUAAAAGCAACAUGUGUUCACUGCACAAAAGCUAGACAACAGGAGAAAAAACAUAUUUUGUAUUCUGUUUAACAUUUUUGUUUAAAUCCUAAUCUGUCCAAAAACAUUCUCAUCUCUCUUUCUAUGAACAUUAACUCUUAUGAAUAAACACAAUAUUUUUUAUUAUUGGGAUCAUCAUUUUGCAUAUGCUAUUCAAAACUUGCUGACAUAAGAAACAAGAAACAAAUAAGAACAUACAAAUAAACAAAACCCCACCAGUAACCCUGCCAUUAGGUAUAAUCACUAUUAACUUGUUGGAUGUCUAUUUUUCCAGAAUUUUCUCAAUUUGCAAAUCAUUGUCAGAAGCAAUAGGUCUUAAAUUGUUUUAUUUGUAAUCCAAAAAUACAUUGGCUCUGUGCAUUCUGAAGGUAUACAUUGUUCUAUCUUCUACUCUACAUGCUGCUAAGAACUAUUGGAAAGUCACUUUUAAUAAGUUCAUAGUUGGCAGUGGGCAGGGCCUUGCUGAGGAACCCCAGCUGGGCACCUGCUGCGGGUUCAUCUACACGUUCCCUCAACUGCCUCCUUUCAACCUUGUCCACCCAUUGCGGUCUCUGGUGCCAUGGUGGUGGUUCCUGUUCCUGCUGCAGCUCUCUCCCCUUCUUCCCUCUCCACCAGAUCACAGAGGUCACUCAUCAUGGUUUUACCCAGUGCGGCUGCCAGGCUCUUGGGAAGCAACAGUGCAUCUUGUCUUGUUCUUGCUGCCUGGCAUGCCAGUGCUUCCUCCAAGAAUUUGAAAGACUUAUUGGCUGACCUGAUACUUAAGGAGCAGGCCAGAAUGAAGACCUUCAGGCAGCGACAUGGCAAGAAGGUGGUGGGCCAAAUCGCUGCAGACACAAUGUAUGGCGGCAUGAAAUGCAUUAAGGGACUGGUGUAUAAAACAUCCGUUCUUGAUCCUCAUGAGGGUUUCUGUUUCCAAGGCUUUAGUAUCCCUGAAUACCAAAAACUGCUACCCAAGGCUAAGGGUGGGGAAGGACCCCUACCCAGGGGACUUAUUUUGGCUGCUGGUAACUAGACAGACCCCAAGAGAGGAACAGGUAUCUUGGCUCUAGAGAUAGUGGGCAAAGAGGGCAGCUCUACCUUCCCAUGUGGUCACCAUGCUGGACAACGUUCCCACCAAUCUAUACCCAUGUUUGAGCUCAGUGAAGCCAUGGCAGCCCUAAACAACUUUCCCUGAGCACAUCCAGAGGGUGCCAGCCAAACCAAGGACUGGGAGUUGAUUUAUGAAGACCAUGUAUAUCUAAUCACAAAGCUACCUUGUGUUGCAGAAAAGGUCUACCGAAAUCUCUACUGAGAGGGCAGCGGUAUUGGGGGUCACUACUCUAAGCUGGACUGGUCCCACAGUUUCACCAACAUGUUAGGCUAUACUGAUGCUCAGUUCACUGAGCUCAUGCACCUGUAGCUUACCAUCCACAGGGACCAUGAGCACAGCAAUGUAAGUGCUUAUAGCAGCCACUUGGCGGGCAGUGCCCUUUCAGACCCUUCCCUGUCCUUUGCAGCAGCCAUGAACGGGCUGGCAGGUCCUCUAUAUGGACCGGCAAAUCAGGAAGUGCUUUUCUGGCUAACACAACUACAGAAGGAAGUUGGCAAGGAUGUGUCAGAUGAGAAAUUACGAGACUACUUUCAACUCGAGAUGGGUUGUUCCAGGCUAUGGCCUUGCAGUGUUAAGGAAGACUGAGCCACAAUGUACCUGUCAGCAAGAGUUUGCUCUGAAACACCGCAUAAUGAUCCCAUGUUUAAGUUGGUUGCUCAGCUGUACAAGAUUGUGCCCAAUAUCCUCUGAGAUUAGGGUAAGGCCAAGAAUCCUGGGCCCAAAGUAGACGCUCAUGGUGGGGUGCUCUCCAGUACUAUAGCAUGACGGAGAUACAUUGCUAUGCGGUCCUGUUUGGGGCAUCACAGGCAUUGGGUGUACUGGCACAGCUCAUAUGGAGCUUUCCUCUAGAAAGACCCAAAUCCAUGAGCACAGGUGGUCUGAUGAAGUCUGUGGACUCUAUGUCAGGAUAA
RNA transcript from Rhinopithecus roxellana (golden snub-nosed monkey), 2122 nucleotides. It is a transcript of the gene named citrate synthase, mitochondrial-like, with no coding region annotated. NCBI's taxonomy places the organism in Eukaryota, Metazoa, Chordata, Mammalia, Primates, Cercopithecidae. The record is from RefSeq and is a predicted model, not a curated record. The transcript is spliced from 2 exons.